Long non-coding RNA from Esox lucius (northern pike), 395 nucleotides. RefSeq lists it as uncharacterized. The transcript is spliced from 3 exons. The record is from RefSeq and is a predicted model, not a curated record. Lineage: Eukaryota; Metazoa; Chordata; Actinopteri; Esociformes; Esocidae.
UGGGCGGCAAAAGGAAAGAAACUGAAAUCACGCUCAAAGUCACCUUUACAGUGGAGACUCCCACUGCAUUCUUAAGAGGGGAAAACGAACCCAACACAGUGUUGUCUGAAAUGGAGGAGAGUGAGGCAAAGUGGGCAGAACCUCGGAAGGAGGGCAGAUUCAAGCACAAGCAACAUCCUAUAGAUCUCCGUCCCUGACCAACAGCACUGACCGGCACACCUUGUCUUCCCAAUUGGUCUGACAGCUCCUGUCCAUCUGAUUAUAUGGUGAUCUAAAAGCAACAUGCUGUUCAAUUUAUUUUUAAAUAAGCCUAUCAAUAACCUGAAUGGUUCCAGAUAUAAUUGAUUUGAGAACUGCAACAGUGUCAUAUUUACUAUAAAAUCCUUAAUUAUGUA